This 336-nucleotide long non-coding RNA is filed under the name Phaseolus vulgaris (common bean). RNAcentral's name for it is "long non-coding RNA (PVUL_LNC001423)". Lineage: Eukaryota; Viridiplantae; Streptophyta; Magnoliopsida; Fabales; Fabaceae. The record is from RNAcentral.
AGUGACCAGGUGAUUCGUUAUCUCGUUUCGAGCAACUCUCAUUUUUUACGCGUCUCCAUCUGACUUCUCUAUCAAAAGUUAUGGUCGUUUCAAGUUUUUUCAUACUAAUUUUUGCCAACUCCAAAUCUAUCACUCUUCUCUUCAAUAUUAGGACUCCUCCAUCAAAUAUCCAUUGAAUGAAGUUCCCACAAACCUUAAUCAACAUAUACAUGCAAAUAUUUAUUAUAAAAUUAAUUAAAAAAUUUAGGGAGACACCGUGCACCAGUCCUGACAACGUGUGUGUGGUGGGUGUUGUCGGUGUGUGGAGGGUGUUGUGUUGCCAUGCGAAGGUGAAGG